Molecule: long non-coding RNA, 413 nt
Organism: Quercus lobata
Lineage: Eukaryota; Viridiplantae; Streptophyta; Magnoliopsida; Fagales; Fagaceae
Exons: 3
Source: RefSeq, a predicted model, not a curated record
CAAUCAGCCAACAACCUUCUUCCUCUUCCUUUCUCUUAGCGGACAGCCGAUACCCCAGCUCAUAUCAGUGAGCUAUUUGGAGUAAAAGAAUGUGGCCAAGAAGUAUUAUCAACCCCAGGCGGAGAAAGGAAAUGAGUUCUAUCGAGUUCUUAGGUGCUGAGCUACAUGCAAGCAGAUCAAAUAUUAGAAUUAUGGGACUAGGAAAAGAAGCUUCAACUCAGAGCAGCUCCUCCCGAUAUGAAAAGUCGAGAAGGGACCCUCUACAUACUUGGCACGGUUCAAAAACAAUAUGUAUAUUGUUGGUGGCCAAACGUAUGUCUCUGACUACCUCUGCCCCUGGAAGUCUUGACGACUUCUUUGAGAAUUAUGCACAAGAAGAUGACAGCCUUUGGAUUAUGUCCAUAGUGUCUCGA